Molecule: long non-coding RNA, 720 nt
Filed under: Equus asinus (donkey)
Lineage: Eukaryota; Metazoa; Chordata; Mammalia; Perissodactyla; Equidae
Description: lncRNA (ENSEASG00005032607.1)
Source: RNAcentral
CCAUUUCUGCAGAUCGGGAAACUUAGGCAUGAGAGAGGUGAAGUGAUUUCUCAAGUUCCAGCGCCUCUUUCUACCACGUCCAGUAAAUCAAAUCCCUCAUCACUCGGACACCAGCCUGCGUCAUCAUGGCAGGAAGAGGGAGCGGGGGAUGGGGAUGGCGAAAGGUUCACAGGCACGGAGAGCGCGCAGAGACUUUCUUUCAUGGCAAAGAGCACAGAAACUUAGAGAGAUGGCUGCCUGGUGCAGAAGACAAGGCAGCACACUCCCAGGCAGGGCAAGGAGCUGCCCAGGGCCGCAGGUCCCCAUGCAAAAUGAGGAUUCGAGGACAAGAGAAGCUCACCCUAUCUCUUCUCACUGGGCAGGUCGGGGAGAGCUUCCACCUAUCCUGUGCUGCACCCCCAAACAAAGCAUCGCACUGAGUUGAUCAGCCAUUCACUGAAGAAGCAGUCAUCUGUUGCCUAUGGGUACGUAGUGGGAGAUUGUGUGACUUGGGCAGUUACUUGACCUCUUCGAGAAUCAACUGCUUCAUCUGCAAAACAGUAAUAAAAAUAUCUCUGUCGUUUGGCAGUAGAGAUGGUUACACAAGAAGGUGUCUGCAAAGGCCCUGGCGUGGCGCCCAGCACGCAGAGGGUGACAUGGAGCUCACAGCAGGUCAGUGGCCAGAGGCGAGAACAGGGCGGAAGGAGGAGCCUCUUCUCUCCUGGAUGCAUGCACUCGAGG